GAGUUUGAUCCUGGCUCAGGACGAACGCUGGCGGCGUGCUUAACACAUGCAAGUCGAACGGUAAGGCCCCUUCGGGGGUACACGAGUGGCGAACGGGUGAGUAACACGUGAGCAACCUGCCCUUGACACUGGAAUAACAGUUGGAAACAGCUGCUAAUGCCGGAUAUGACCUUCGGUGGCAUCACCUGGAGGUGGAAAGUGCUUAGCGGUCAAGGAUGGGCUCGCGGCCUAUCAGCUUGUUGGUGAGGUAACGGCUCACCAAGGCUUCGACGGGUAGCCGGCCUGAGAGGGCGACCGGCCACACUGGGACUGAGAUACGGCCCAGACUCCUACGGGAGGCAGCAGUGGGGAAUAUUGCACAAUGGGCGCAAGCCUGAUGCAGCAACGCCGCGUGCGGGAUGACGGCCUUCGGGUUGUAAACCGCUUUCAGUUCCGACGAAGCGCAAGUGACGGUAGGAACAGAAGAAGGACCGGCCAACUACGUGCCAGCAGCCGCGGUGAUACGUAGGGUCCGAGCGUUGUCCGGAAUUAUUGGGCGUAAAGGGCUUGUAGGCGGUUUGUCACGUCGGAAGUGAAAACUCAGGGCUCAACCCUGAGCCUGCUUCCGAUACGGGCAAACUAGAGGAAUGCAGGGGAGAAUGGAAUUCCUGGUGGAGCGGUGGAAUGCGCAGAUAUCAGGAGGAACACCGGUGGCGAAGGCGGUUCUCUGGGCAUUUCCUGACGCUGAGAAGCGAAAGCGUGGGGAGCAAACAGGCUUAGAUACCCUGGUAGUCCACGCCGUAAACGGUGGGCACUAGGUGUGGGGAACAUUCCACGUUCUCCGUGCGAGCUAACGCAUUAAGUGCCCCGCAGGAAGAGUAUUCUCGCAAGCAUAAAACUCAAAGGAAUGUAUCGGGGAGCAGGCUCAAGCGGCGGAGCAUGCGGAUUAAUUCGAUGCAACCAGAAGAACCUCAACUGGGUUUGACAUAUACCGGAAAGCUGCAGAUAUGUAGCCCCCGCAAGGUCGGUAUACAGGCGGGUCAUGGCCGUCGUCAUCUUGUGUUGUGAGAUUCUGGGUUAAGUCGUGCAACGAGAACAAGCCUCGUAAUAUGAAGCCAGCGGAUAAUCCCGGGGAGUCAUAGGAUCAGGCCGGGGUCCACUCGGAGGAAGGUGGGGAUGACGUCAAGUCAUCAUGGCCCUUACGUAUCAGGGUUACACACGUACUACAAUGGUAGGGACAGAGGGCUGCAAGCCGGCGACGGUAAGCCAAUCCCAGAAACCCCAUCUCAGUCCGGAUUGGAGUCUGCAACUCGACUCCAUGAAGUUGGAAUCGCUAGUAAUCGCAGAUCAGCUCAUAUGCGGUGAAUACGUUCCCGGGCAUUGUACACUCCAGUCGUCACGCCAUGGGAGUCUGUUGCACCAGAAGCAGGUAGCUUAACCUUCGGGAGGGCGCUUGCCACGGUGUGGCCGAUGACUGGGGAGAAGUCGUAACAAGGUAGCCGUAUCGGAAGGUGCGGCUGGAUCACCUCCUUUCU
This 1514-nucleotide ribosomal RNA is filed under the name uncultured bacterium. RNAcentral's name for it is "bacterial SSU rRNA". It matches the Rfam family "Bacterial small subunit ribosomal RNA". The record is from RNAcentral.